RNAcentral lists this unclassified non-coding RNA (1358 nucleotides) under Hevea brasiliensis (rubber tree). The record is from RNAcentral. Lineage: Eukaryota; Viridiplantae; Streptophyta; Magnoliopsida; Malpighiales; Euphorbiaceae.
ACAUCUUAGAUGGCUCUAUCUUGUUUUCGCUUUUUAUGGCGUUUGUCUUUCUUGUUCUUUUUUCUUGGGCUUUUGCUGUUGGUGGUAUUGCAUGGAAAAAUGGAAGAAACCAACGAGGCCCUGUUCCCAUUCCUGGGCCUAGAGGUUUACCCAUCCUUGGUAGCCUCUUAACUUUGAGCCGUGGCUUGGCUCAUCGUUCUUUGGCUACCAUGGCGUGGAAGCGGGCUAACACUUCACUCAUGGCUUUUAGCCUUGGCUCCACUCCUGUUGUUGUUGCUUCUGACCCUCACACCGCCAGAGAAAUUUUAACUUCUAUCCACUUCGCUGACCGUCCGAUCAAACAGUCAGCUAAGAGUCUCAUGUUUAGUCGAGCUAUCGGUUUCGCUCCGAACGGCACCUACUGGAGGCUGUUGAGAAAAAUUGCUUCCUCACGUCUGUUUGCUCCACGGUCCAUAGCCGCCCAUAAAACUCUCCGUCAACUAGAAUGUGAAACUAUGCUACGCAACAUAGCCAUGGAGCAAAAACAAAAGGGUUGCGUCUCUUUAAGGAAACACCUUCAGUUUGCAUCUUUAAAUAACAUCAUGGGCAGUGUGUUUGGCAAGAGAUACGAUCCUGCGCGCGAUGCAGAGGAGCUUGAGGAGCUUAGAGACAUGGUUAAUGAAGGUUUUGACCUUUUGAGUGCAUUUAACUGGUGUGAUUAUUUACCAUGGCUGAAUUACUUCUAUGACCCAUUUCGUAUACAUGAACGUUGCUUGAAACUUGUUCCUCGAGUUAGGAAACUCGUUGCAGGCAUUAUUGAAGACCACCGACUCAAUAAAUCAAGAAGGAAGUGUGAUAGUUGUGAUUUUGUUGACGUUUUGCUCUCUUUGGAUGGUGAAGAGAAACUUGAAGAGGAUGACAUGGUUGCUGUGUUGUGGGAAAUGAUUUUUAGAGGGACUGAUACAACAGCUUUACUAACCGAGUGGAUCAUGGCCGAGUUGGUGUUGCACCCGGAGAUUCAAGAAAAGCUUCAGAGGGAACUAGACGGAGCUGCGAAAGAUGGGAACUUGACAGACUCUGAGGUGGCAAAUUUACCUUAUUUAAAAGCAGUGGUGAAAGAAACUCUAAGGGUCCACCCACCAGGCCCACUCCUUUCGUGGGCCAGGCUGUCCACGGCAGACGUCCAACUCAACAAUGGAAUGAUAAUACCCUGCAAUACAACUGCAAUGGUCAACAUGUGGGCAAUAACCCAUGACCCUGGCGUCUGGGUGGAUCCACUGGUAUUCAAGCCAGAGAGAUUCUUAAAUGGUGAUGUGGACGUGAAGGAUGGUGAUCUGAGGCUUGCACCCUUUGGGGCAGGGCGUAGGAUUUGCCCUGGG